CGUUGAUGGAGUUUGUGAAAGUUGGAAACGGUGGGAAGUUUCACUCUGCUAUUUACUACAGGCUUCUCCAUAACAUUGUUCAUUCCUCCCUUGAAGUUGAUGAUAUUUUGCUGGAGUUGCUCGCAUCAAAGUAUUUUAAGUACAUUGAUAUCAGAUACUUUACUUAUAUCAGCCUUGAAAAGCUUUCCCGAAACAUAGGAGCCAAUGAUAUCUCAGACGAUAUAAGGGAG
RNAcentral lists this unclassified non-coding RNA (230 nucleotides) under Hevea brasiliensis (rubber tree). Lineage: Eukaryota; Viridiplantae; Streptophyta; Magnoliopsida; Malpighiales; Euphorbiaceae. The record is from RNAcentral.